GAUGAACGCUGGCGGCGUGCCUAAUACAUGCAAGUCGAGCGAACAGGCGAGGAGCUUACUCCUCUGACGUUAGCGGCGGCCGGGUGAGUAACACGUGGAUAACCUACCUAUAAGACUGGGAUAACUUCGGGAAACCGGAGCUAAUACCGGAUAACAUGUUGAACCGCAUGGUUCAACAGUGAAAGACGGUCUUGCUGUCACUUAUAGAUGGAUCCGCGUCGCAUUAGCUAGUUGGUAAGGUAACGGCUUACCAAGGCAACGAUGCGUAGCCGACCUGAGAGGGUGAUCGGCCACACUGGAACUGAGACACGGUCCAGACUCCUACGGGAGGCAGCAGUAGGGAAUCUUCCGCAAUGGGCGAAAGCCUGACGGAGCAACGCCGCGUGAGUGAAGAAGGUCUUCGGAUCGUAAAACUCUGUUAUUAGGGAAGAACAAAUGUGUAAGUAACUAUGCACGUCUUGACGGUACCUAAUCAGAAAGCCACGGCUAACUACGUG
This 497-nucleotide ribosomal RNA is filed under the name uncultured bacterium. RNAcentral describes it as "partial 16S ribosomal RNA". It matches the Rfam family "Bacterial small subunit ribosomal RNA", at positions 28 to 507 of the family's 1533-position model. The record is from RNAcentral.